CCACUUUUAUUAUAAUGGUUGAUCAUUGGUCCAACACCAUAUAUAGCUAAUAAUAUAUAUCAUCACCAUUCACCAAACUUGUUCUUGAUCCACUUGAAGCUAUUACUUACACUUGUUUUGAUCUUCCCCUCCACUGUGAGCACAUUAUACCCUUUGAUUCUCUUCUUCCUCUUAAUCUCUGGAUCAUUUGAUGCACGAAAUCCACUUCCCUUGUGACUUGGCCCAUUGAAGUUGUAUGAGUGUGAUCUUUCUCUGUACACAAAUUCAGUGUAAGAGCAAGAGCAUUUAGGGAAUGACUUACUUUGUUCCAUGAAACAAACCCUUUCUUUGGUUUUUCACUGCAUGAAACAUGAAAUAUG
Molecule: long non-coding RNA, 359 nt
Filed under: Lupinus angustifolius (narrow-leaved blue lupine)
Lineage: Eukaryota; Viridiplantae; Streptophyta; Magnoliopsida; Fabales; Fabaceae
Description: long non-coding RNA (LANG_LNC001405)
Source: RNAcentral